Non-coding RNA from Mycena latifolia, 96 nucleotides. The record is from the annotation of a GenBank genome assembly. Lineage: Eukaryota; Fungi; Basidiomycota; Agaricomycetes; Agaricales; Mycenaceae.
UCGGACGUGGUGCACGGUGCACGCCCGCUCUCUCUACUCCACGGCCAUCCUCUGUAGGUGAUGCGGGCGGCCUGGGUUCGACCCCCAGCGUCCGGA